Molecule: microRNA, 22 nt
Filed under: Saccoglossus kowalevskii
Lineage: Eukaryota; Metazoa; Hemichordata; Enteropneusta; Harrimaniidae
Description: Sko-Mir-8_5p* (star (passenger))
Source: RNAcentral
CAUCUUACCCGACAGCAUUAGA